GAGAGUUUGAUCCUGGCUCAGAACGAACGCUGGCGGCGUGCCUAACACAUGCAAGUUGAACGGAGUCAAGAUGCAGGAUACAGGAUACACGAUGCAGGCAUAAAAACAUCAUGAAUCAUGUAUCUUGCAUCCUGUAUCUUGACUUAGUGGCGGACGGGUGAGUAACACGUAGGCAACCUACCCUUGAGAGUGGGACAACCCCGAGAAAUCGGGGCUAAUACCGCAUAAGACCACGGACUGAGAAGUCAGUGGUAAAAGUUCCGAGCAAUCGGAAUGCUUGAGGAUGGGCCUGCGGCCUAUCAGGUAGUUGGUAGGGUAAUGGCCUACCAAGCCGAAGACGGGUAGCCGGGCUGAGAGGUCGGACGGCCACACUGGAACUGAGACACGGUCCAGACUCCUACGGGAGGCAGCAGUGGGGAAUUUUGCACAAUGGGCGAAAGCCUGAUGCAGCGACGCCGCGU
Molecule: ribosomal RNA, 461 nt
Filed under: Nitrospira sp.
Lineage: Bacteria; Pseudomonadati; Nitrospirota; Nitrospiria; Nitrospirales; Nitrospiraceae
Description: bacterial SSU rRNA
Rfam family: Bacterial small subunit ribosomal RNA
Source: RNAcentral